GAUAACGUAGGCGUACACAUGCAGUCGAGCGGAGUGAUGGUGCUUGCACUAUCACUUAGCGGCGGACGGGUGAGUAAUGCUUAGGAAUCUGCCUAUUAGUGGGGGACAACAUUUCGAAAGGAAUGCUAAUACCGCAUACGUCCUACGGGAGAAAGCAGGGGAUCUUCGGACCUUGCGCUAAUAGAUGAGCCUAAGUCGGAUUAGCUAGUUGGUGGGGUAAAGGCCUACCAAGGCGACGAUCUGUAGCGGGUCUGAGAGGAUGAUCCGCCACACUGGGACUGAGACACGGCCCAGACUCCUACGGGAGGCAGCAGUGGGGAAUAUUGGACAAUGGGCGCAAGCCUGAUCCAGCCAUGCCGCGUGUGUGAAGAAGGCCUUAUGGUUGUAAAGCACUUUAAGCGAGGAGGAGGCUACUGAAGUUAAUACCUUCAGAUAGUGGACGUUACUCGCAGAAUAAGCACCGGCUAACUCUGUGCCAGCAGCCGCGGUAAUACAGAGGGUGCAAGCGUUAAUCGGAUUUACUGGGCGUAAAGCGCGCGUAGGCGGCUAAUUAAGUCAAAUGUGAAAUCCCCGAGCUUAACUUGGGAAUUGCAUUCGAUACUGGUUAGCUAGAGUGUGGGAGAGGAUGGUAGAAUUCCAGGUGUAAGCGGUGAAAUGCGUAGAGAUCUGGAGGAAUACCGAUGGCGAAAGGCAGCCAUCUGGCCUAACACUGACGCUGAGGUGCGAAAAGCAUGGGGAGCAAACAGGAUUAGAUACCCCUGGUAGUCCAUGCCGUAAACGAUGUCUACUAGCCGUUGGGGCCUUUUGACGCUUUUAGUGGCGCAGCUAACGCGAUAAAGUAGACCCGCCCCUGC
RNAcentral lists this ribosomal RNA (854 nucleotides) under Acinetobacter calcoaceticus. Its description in RNAcentral is "bacterial SSU rRNA". It matches the Rfam family "Bacterial small subunit ribosomal RNA", at positions 35 to 873 of the family's 1533-position model. Lineage: Bacteria; Pseudomonadati; Pseudomonadota; Gammaproteobacteria; Moraxellales; Moraxellaceae. The record is from RNAcentral.